GACGAACGCUGGCGGCGUGCUUAACACAUGCAAGUCGAACGCUGAAGCACCAGCUUGCUGGUGUGGAUGAGUGGCGAACGGGUGAGUAAUACGUGAGUAACCUGCCCUUGACUCUGGGAUAAGCCCGGGAAACUGGGUCUAAUACUGGAUGCUACAUGUCACCGCAUGGUGGUGUGUGGAAAGGGUUUACUGGUCUUGGAUGGGCUCACGGCCUAUCAGCUUGUUGGUGAGGUAAUGGCUCACCAAGGCGACGACGGGUAGCCGGCCUGAGAGGGUGACCGGCCACACUGGGACUGAGACACGGCCCAGACUCCUACGGGAGGCAGCAGUGGGGAAUAUUGCACAAUGGGCGAAAGCCUGAUGCAGCGACGCCGCGUGAGGGUUGACGGCCUUCGGGUUGUAAACCUCUUUCAGCAGGGAAGAAGCCACAAGUGACGGUACCUGCAGAAGAAGCGCCGGCUAACUACGUG
RNAcentral lists this ribosomal RNA (470 nucleotides) under uncultured bacterium. RNAcentral describes it as "partial 16S ribosomal RNA". It matches the Rfam family "Bacterial small subunit ribosomal RNA", at positions 28 to 507 of the family's 1533-position model. The record is from RNAcentral.